UGUGAAGACACAUUUUCAAACACAAAUGGCCAUGCAGAUUUUCAAACACAAUAAAGUUGGUCUUUGAUUAUCAGGUGCGGACAUUUUGCAAGGCCUAAAUGGAAGAAGGUUCUGUCUAAACUGGGUUCCAAGCAUUGCAACGCAAGGAUAGGGGUGUUUUACUGCGGGGCACCGGUUUUGGCUAAAAGCUCAGCAAACUGUGCUACGAGCUGAACCAAAAAGGUUCAACUAAAGUCGAAUUCCAUAAGGAGCAUUUCUAAGCCACGUAUAAGAGGGGAGUAAAUAGCAGCAGCCUCAUCACCCUUAGCCCUAACUCCUUCUUUACCUAGAUAAGUAAGAAUUUUUGCAAUAAAAACAGGAGUCACUGUACAGCCUUGGACUAGAAAAGGAAAUCUACAAGGAAAAAAAAAAGGCAAAUGUAUUUCAUUUUGCUCUCUGUCCCAUCGUAGAAUGCCCUCAAAAAGAGAGACUGAAAUGAUUUUGAUAAAUUGGAUUCAGUCAGCAACAAGAUAAAUAGAGAAGAGGGGAUAAGUGCCGUAUGCUGCGAUGGAGAGGAUGACUUCAGAAUUGAGAGGCUGGGCUGGGCUACCGAUUUGAAUUAUUGGUGGGAUGGAAGAGAUAUAGGUUUUUUUUCUUUUUUUUCUUCUUCUAUUUCCCAAUUUUCAUGUAAAUAUACUAGAAGGAUUGAGGAAAUAGGGGAAAAAGUUCAAAUAAAAUCCUUCUAGUAUCACACCCAAGUAAUAAUAUUAACAUACUAGAUAAUUAUCGAUUUUUUA
Hibiscus syriacus is the source of this 776-nucleotide long non-coding RNA. RefSeq lists it as uncharacterized. The transcript is spliced from 2 exons. The record is from RefSeq and is a predicted model, not a curated record. NCBI's taxonomy places the organism in Eukaryota, Viridiplantae, Streptophyta, Magnoliopsida, Malvales, Malvaceae.